Molecule: unclassified non-coding RNA, 378 nt
Filed under: plant metagenome
Description: partial contains 5.8S ribosomal RNA, internal transcribed spacer 2, and large subunit ribosomal RNA
Rfam family: 5.8S ribosomal RNA (bases 1-105)
Source: RNAcentral
GAAAUGCGAUAAGUAAUGUGAAUUGCAGAAUUCAGUGAAUCAUCGAAUCUUUGAACGCACCUUGCGCUCCUUGGUAUUCCUUGGAGCAUGCCUGUUUGAGUAUCAUGAAAUCUUCAAAGUAAAUCUUUUGUUAACUCAAUUGGUUUCUACUUUGGUAUUGGAGGUCUUUGCAGCUUCACACCUGCUCCUCUUUGUUCAUUAGCUGGAUCUCAGUGUUAUGCUUGGUUCCACUCGGCGUGAUAAGUUAUCUAUCGCUGAGGACACUGUAAAAGGUGGCCAAGGUAAAUGCAGAUGAACCGCUUCUAAUAGUCCAUUGACUUGGACAAUACUUUUAUGAUCUGAUCUCAAAUCAGGCAGGACUACCCGCUGAACUUAAGC